RNAcentral lists this transfer RNA (74 nucleotides) under Daphnia pulex (common water flea). Its description in RNAcentral is "tRNA-Arg". It matches the Rfam family "tRNA". From Rfam's summary of the family: Transfer RNA (tRNA) molecules are approximately 80 nucleotides in length. Their secondary structure includes four short double-helical elements and three loops (D, anti-codon, and T loops). The record is from RNAcentral. Lineage: Eukaryota; Metazoa; Arthropoda; Branchiopoda; Diplostraca; Daphniidae.
UCUCCAGUGGCGCAGUUGGUUAGCGCAUGGUACUUCUAAUGCCGAGGUCGCGAGUUCGAGCCUCGCCUGGAGAA